GGGCUCGUGGCUUAGCCAGGAUAUAGCGCUGGCCUUCUAAGCCAGACGCCUCGGGUUCGAAUCCCGACGGGCCCGCCA
RNAcentral lists this transfer RNA (78 nucleotides) under Thermoplasmata archaeon. Its description in RNAcentral is "tRNA-Arg". It matches the Rfam family "tRNA". Rfam says of the family: Transfer RNA (tRNA) molecules are approximately 80 nucleotides in length. Their secondary structure includes four short double-helical elements and three loops (D, anti-codon, and T loops). Lineage: Archaea; Methanobacteriati; Thermoplasmatota; Thermoplasmata. RNAcentral also lists the same sequence under 1 other name. The record is from RNAcentral.